UCCGUAGGUGAACCUGCGGAAGGAUCAUUAAUGAAUUUUGGAGUUCUACUGUGCCUGCCGUUCAUUUGGAUGUGUGCACGUAGUCUCUAUAAAUCCUUAUCAACACCUGUGCACCUUUAAAAAGGGGAAACUGAUUAAGCUUUUUACGGGCUUAUGAGGAAUAACCUUUUUUUCUUAUACAAACUCUUAAUGUCUAUUAGAAUGUUCUCUGGCCGCAAGGCUAUAAAAUAUAAACAACUUUUAACAACGGAUCUCUUGGCUCUCGCAUCGAUGAAGAACGCAGCGAAAUGCGAUAAGUAAUGUGAAUUGCAGAAUUCAGUGAAUCAUCGAAUCUUUGAACGCACCUUGCACUCCUUGGUAUUCCGAGGAGUACGCCUGUUCGAGUGUUAUGAAGCUCUCAAAACGCAAUUGGCUUAAAACCUGAUUGUUGUUUUGGAUUUGAACUUUGCCGUGUUAUAACGGCUGGUUUUAAAAGUAUUAGCUGGUACUAGAACGAAUUGGUUCUACUCAACGUGAUAAUUAUCUGAUCGUUGAGGACAUUCCUUUCACGAGGAAUGGGGCCAUAGUAAAUUCAAUGGGACUGGCUUCUAAUCUGGGCUUAAUUCUUUAUUGGGAUUAACCACUUUUCAAAUCUGGACCUCGGGAAUCAGGUGGGACUACCCGCUGAACUUAAGCAUAUCAAUAAGGGC
RNAcentral lists this ribosomal RNA (689 nucleotides) under uncultured fungus. Its description in RNAcentral is "eukaryotic LSU rRNA". The stretch from base 236 to 389 matches the Rfam family "5.8S ribosomal RNA". Lineage: Eukaryota; Fungi. The record is from RNAcentral.